Molecule: ribosomal RNA, 303 nt
Filed under: uncultured bacterium
Lineage: Bacteria
Description: partial 16S ribosomal RNA
Rfam family: Bacterial small subunit ribosomal RNA
Source: RNAcentral
AGCACAGCCGCGGUAAUACGGAGGAUCCAAGCGUUAUCCGGAAUCAUUGGGUUUAAAGGGUCCGUAGGCGGUCUUGUAAGUCAGUGGUGAAAGCCCAUCGCUCAACGGUGGAACGGCCAUUGAUACUGCAGGACUUGAAUUAUUGGGAAGUAACUAGAAUAUGUAGUGUAGCGGUGAAAUGCUUAGAGAUUACAUGGAAUACCAAUUGCGAAGGCAGGUUACUACCAAUUGAUUGACGCUGAUGGACGAAAGCGUGGGUAGCGAACAGGAUUAGAUACCCCAGUAGUCCCUGUCUCUUAUACA